Molecule: long non-coding RNA, 2234 nt
Organism: Thunnus maccoyii (southern bluefin tuna)
Lineage: Eukaryota; Metazoa; Chordata; Actinopteri; Scombriformes; Scombridae
Exons: 3
Source: RefSeq, a predicted model, not a curated record
AAAAACAGUCCGUAGAGGGAAGCACAGUCAGGCAGCAAAGAGAAGGCAAUAAAUCUCAUAAUCGGCAGAAAUGGCUGAUGCCGAUAUUUCAUUUUAGAGCUUUUAUCGGCCAAUACUGAUGUAGUGUCGAUAAUAUCAUGCAUCCCUAUGUUCAACCAUCUAACAAACUGAUAUUGUUUUGGAGAGUGUUUCUUUAGUUUUGUUUGUUUCUUUAUUUUUUUCUCUUUUCCUUGUUUUGUUACACCACUGGCAGGAGGCCCUUUUUCUUUAACUGUUGAUAACCAAUGUUAAGCGUCAGGUCAACUGUAAUAUUGUGUUUUUUUUGUUUGGUUGAAUAACUUCAUUAAUUGUAUAUAUUCUCUUUUUUAUCUUUCAGGAGCUGAGAGCUUGGGGUUGGUGGGGUUGGUGCUUGUAGGUGGUGGUACCUCCUUUCCUGUGUGUUGUGUUCAUCUGAGCAUCCUGGGUUUGGCCCUUCACCAUUGUGUGGAUGUGUGCGCACAUGUGGUUCGGGGUGACUCUCUUCUGGAUACCUAUUCUUCUCCCCCCUCCACUGGUAACCUGUAAGUGGAGGUUCUCUACCUUGAAGUACAUCAAAGGCAGACUCAGGAGCAACCUCUCACAAGAACAUCAAGAGGCUUUCAUGCUGAUGGCCACGAAGAAGGACAUCCUAAUGGCCUUGGAUACUGACAUGCUUGCCCCUUAUCAAUACCACCACCAUCUCCAUCCCCACCUCCCUCCUCCACCCUGGAGUGAGGAUACCGACGCUAGCCUCAGUGCCCCUCUCUCCGUCAUUCCCACCUCCUUCCUCCAUCCUGGAGUGAGGAUACGUUACCCCACCUUUUUUGUUUAUUUUUUAUUUAUUGUUCAUAGACACCAAUACCGUAGCACUAGUACAAAGGUCUAAAAUACCUGGUGUUUAUUUCAAUAUUAUUUAUUGAUUAUAAACCAACAAUUCCAAAGAGUAAUUGUACUUUAACAGAAGAAGAAAUAUGUACAGUAGAUGUUUACACUUAUUAUUUAUUGUUUAUAGACCAGCAAUACCCAGAAGAGUAACCCUGAAGAGUAAGUCCUUCAAGUUUCAAGAUUAAAGUGAUCAAAUUGGCAAUGGCAUUAUCUGACUUAUUUCCCGUGUUGAAAUAGAUUAUACAGUCUAUUCAGAUAUAGACAUCAUGAAACAAUAGCUGUGUUUCCAUUAACCUAUUUUUAUGUGCAUUUUGAAGUAUCGCAUUGAAAAAGCUUAAUGGAAACACCAAACCUCGAAAAAAAAUUCCUCAAUUUUGCAAAAAAAAAUUUUUACACUCGCUUGAGGUGGAUUAUGGAAAUGUUGAAAAAGAGUUUAUGCGCAAAAUGAGUGGAAAUGCAUUUGUUGAAUAAAUGUAGCGAACCUUUAACUUAACAUGACUGACCAGCUGUUUCCACUCGUGGUGUCUUCUGGCGUCUCCAGAUAGCAUUAAGCAUGGUCAAUACUAGCUGACAUGAAAGAACAAUUACAACUUGCCAAAUUGAAACAAAUUCCUGAAGACCUCUCUCCACCGCCAUAUUCUGAUGAAACUAUGCAUUGCAUAGCCUAGUAUAUUCGCUUAAAACCAGUUGAUGGAAAUGCACCUAAUUUGCAUUUCACUUUUUGUGGCAUUUCAAAAGUUUGCUUAAAAUUCUCUUGUUAAUCUAAUGGAAACACAGCUACUGACUGCACAAUAUGGUAGCCUGAAUGUAUCAUGGUAUCCUCACAGUGGUGACCUGCUGGCAACAAACCUCUUACCUGCUCUUAAAAUAGCUCUGUAUUAGUGUUACAGUAGCCUAGAGUAUCCAUCCUUUUUGCUUAUAAGUGAUGGUAUUAAGGGCUGGUGUGUUUGUAUGUGUGUCGAUGGGGCAGGGGUCAUGGAGUAUCCACAGGCUGGUUGUGGUGGGCUGGUCUGGGUAAAAAUUUCCAGGGCCAUUUUUUAGUCUCAGUGCGUCCCUGGAGCAAAGACAAUUAUCUGAAGCAUGUAGGCACACAUUGUGCAAAGAAAGAAAUGACAAACAAGGGAGAAAGUGACUCAAACAAAGGACGAAAGAAUGUUGAGUCUAUAUAUCUUAGUAUCAUAUCAUCUUAUUUUGCUUAAACUUGUAACAUAUGCCUGUUAUGUGACUACAUUUCACUUGGUCUGAAUGCAAGUUAAGUUGUAUGGCUCAUUUUCUUGCUUCAGGUGUUAUUUUCUUAAUAGCAAUAAAGUUGAGCACCAUUUUCUUCUUUA